AUGAACGCUGGCGGCGUGCUUAACACAUGCCAGUCGAACGGUGAUGCUCCAGCUUGCUGGAGUGGAUCAGUGGCGAACGGGUGAGUAACACGUGAGCAACCUGCCCCAGACUCUGGAAUAAGCGCUGGAAACGGCGUCUAAUACUGGAUACGAAACUGGCCCGCAUGGGCAUGGUUUGGAAAGUUUUUCGGUUUGGGAUGGGCUCGCGGCCUAUCAGCUUGUUGGUGAGGUAAUGGCUCACCAAGGCGACGACGGGUAGCCGGCCUGAGAGGGCGACCGGCCACACUGGGACUGAGACACGGCCCAGACUCCUACGGGAGGCAGCAGUGGGGAAUAUUGCACAAUGGGCGAAAGCCUGAUGCAGCGACGCCGCGUGAGGGAUGACGGCCUUCGGGUUGUAAACCUCUUUCAGCAGGGAAGAAGCGAAAGUGACGGUACCUGCAGAAGAAGCACCGGCUAACUACGUG
Molecule: ribosomal RNA, 467 nt
Filed under: uncultured bacterium
Lineage: Bacteria
Description: partial 16S ribosomal RNA
Rfam family: Bacterial small subunit ribosomal RNA
Source: RNAcentral